RNAcentral lists this ribosomal RNA (467 nucleotides) under uncultured bacterium. RNAcentral's name for it is "partial 16S ribosomal RNA". It matches the Rfam family "Bacterial small subunit ribosomal RNA", at positions 29 to 507 of the family's 1533-position model. The record is from RNAcentral.
ACGAACGCUGGCGGCGUGCUUAACCCAUGCAAGUCGAACGGAAAGGCCCUGCUUUUGUGGGGUGCUCGAGUGGCGAACGGGUGAGUAACACGUGAGUAACCUGCCCUUGACUUUGGGAUAACUUCAGGAAACUGGGGCUAAUACCGGAUAGGAGCUCCUGCUGCAUGGUGGGGGUUGGAAAGUUUCGGCGGUUGGGGAUGGACUCGCGGCUUAUCAGCUUGUUGGUGGGGUAGUGGCUUACCAAGGCUUUGACGGGUAGCCGGCCUGAGAGGGUGGCCGGCCACAUUGGGACUGAGAUACGGCCCAGACUCCUACGGGAGGCAGCAGUGGGGAAUAUUGCACAAUGGGCGGAAGCCUGAUGCAGCAACGCCGCGUGCGGGAUGACGGCCUUCGGGUUGUAAACCGCUUUCGCCUGUGACGAAGCGUGAGUGACGGUAAUGGGUAAAGAAGCACCGGCUAACUACGUG